Molecule: long non-coding RNA, 578 nt
Filed under: Theobroma cacao (cacao)
Lineage: Eukaryota; Viridiplantae; Streptophyta; Magnoliopsida; Malvales; Malvaceae
Description: long non-coding RNA (TCAC_LNC000516)
Source: RNAcentral
UAGUUUUCAUUCUUAUUUAUGGGCAGACAGGAGGAGUUACUAUCCUUUUUGUGUUUUUUGUGGUGGGUACAGUAACUAGUCUUUGCAAGGAUAAAAAGUGUUGAAACUUACGAUUGAAAGUGGCUUUGGUAUUUACACAAUUUUACCUAAAAGGCGCUAGGAAAACCUUGAAGAUUGUCAUAGUUAAAGCCAGCAUCAAGGUUCUUUGGUUCAGUAUCAUCCCAAUUCAAAAAGGCUUCUAUGGGACCCUUUUCUUCCCAUUGCUAGCAAGUGGAGGGAACUGUUUCGGAUAUGAACUUGCAGAAUAUCUGAAUGAAGUCGAGGAACCUUCAGGUGCAGGAUGAAAAGAGGUUUGGGGCUGAGUGGACCUAAACUGCUAGAUGGGGAUGGGGAUUUGAGAGAGCAAAACUCGACUACUGGUUGCUAUUGUAAGUUGAAGGAAAGACUAAAAGAACGGCAAAAGGGGGAAGGGCUGAACUGCCGAAGCUUGAAAGUCGAUGGCUAAUGGGGAUGGGGAUUUGAGAGACCAAAACUCGACUAUUGGCUGUUGCUGUAGGUUGAAAGAAAGAGAGAAAGAA